UACGGAGGAUCCAAGCGUUAUCCGGAAUCAUUGGGUUUAAAGGGUCCGUAGGCGGUUUUGUAAGUCAGUGGUGAAAGCCCAUCGCUCAACGGUGGAACGGCCAUUGAUACUGCAAGACUUGAAUUAUUAGGAAGUAACUAGAAUAUGUAGUGUAGCGGUGAAGUGCUUAGAGAUUACAUGGAAUACCAAUUGCGAAGGCAGGUUACUACUAAUUGAUUGACGCUGAUGGACGAAAGCGUGGGGAGCGAACAGG
This 253-nucleotide ribosomal RNA is filed under the name uncultured bacterium. Its description in RNAcentral is "partial 16S ribosomal RNA". It matches the Rfam family "Bacterial small subunit ribosomal RNA", at positions 524 to 776 of the family's 1533-position model. The record is from RNAcentral.